Maylandia zebra (zebra mbuna) is the source of this 205-nucleotide non-coding RNA. Lineage: Eukaryota; Metazoa; Chordata; Actinopteri; Cichliformes; Cichlidae. The record is from RefSeq and is a predicted model, not a curated record.
UGACCAAGGAUUUGCCACUGAAGAAGGUCUACAUGGAGGCAAGAGAGAAUGCACUUGCUGAAGACAUUACAGGAAUUGACUUCAAGGGGGCACUUCUCCUCUUGCCAUCCAUCUUCAAGGAGAAGAUAGAAGAUUUCAUCAUCCUUGGAGAGAAUACUCCCACGAGUCCAUACCCAACCAUUCGAAUGAAGGAUAAGAGUUGGAC